UACGUGCCAGCAGCCGCGGUAAUACGUAGGGUGCGAGCGUUGUCCGGGAAUUAUUGGGCGUAAAGAGCUUGUAGGCGGUCUGUCGCGUCUGCUGUGAAAACCCGAGGCUCAACCUCGGGCUGCAGUGGGUACGGGCAGACUAGAGUGCGGUAGGGGAGAACGGAACUCCUGGUGUAGCGGUGGAAUGCGCAGAUAUCAGGAAGAACACCGAUGGCGAAGGCAGUUCUCUGGGCCGUAACUGACGCUGAGAAGCGAAAGCGUGGGGAGCGAACAGGAUUAGAUACCCUGGUAGUCCACGCCGUAAACGUUGGGCGCUAGAUGUGGGGACCAUUCCACGGUUUCCGUGUCGUAGCUAACGCAUUAAGCGCCCCGCCUGGGGAGUACGGCCGCAAGGCUAAAACUCAAAGGAAUUGACGGGGGCCCGCACAAGCGGCGGAGCAUGCGGAUUAAUUCGAUGCAACGCGAAGAACCUUACCAAGGCUUGACAUAUACCGGAAACGGCCAGAGAUGGUCGCCCCCUUGUGGUCGGUAUACAGGUGGUGCAUGGUUGUCGUCAGCUCGUGUCGUGAGAUGUUGGGUUAAGUCCCGCAACGAGCGCAACCCUCGUUCUAUGUUGCCAGCGGUUCGGCCGGGAACUCAUAGGAGACUGCCGGGGUCAACUCGGAGGAAGGUGGGGAUGACGUCAAAUCAUCAUGCCCCUUAUGUCUUGGGCUUCACGCAUGCUACAAUGGCCGGUACAAAGGGCUGCGAUGCCGUAAGGCGGAGCGAAUCCCAAAAAGCCGGUCUCAGUUCGGAUUGAGGUCUGCAACUCGACCUCAUGAAGUCGGAGUCGCUAGUAAUCGCAGAUCAGCAACGCUGCGGUGAAUACGUUCCCGGGCCUUGUACACACCGCCCGUCAAGUCAUGAAAGUCGGUAACACC
Molecule: ribosomal RNA, 920 nt
Filed under: Microbacteriaceae bacterium
Lineage: Bacteria; Bacillati; Actinomycetota; Actinomycetes; Micrococcales; Microbacteriaceae
Description: bacterial SSU rRNA
Rfam family: Bacterial small subunit ribosomal RNA
Source: RNAcentral